GCCGAUGUAGCUCAGUUGGUAGAGCACGCCCAUGGUAAGGGCGAGGUCGUCGGUUCAAUCCCGACCAUCGGCUCCA
This 76-nucleotide transfer RNA is filed under the name Patescibacteria group bacterium. Its description in RNAcentral is "tRNA-Thr". It matches the Rfam family "tRNA". From Rfam's summary of the family: Transfer RNA (tRNA) molecules are approximately 80 nucleotides in length. Their secondary structure includes four short double-helical elements and three loops (D, anti-codon, and T loops). Further hydrogen bonds mediate the characteristic L-shaped molecular structure. tRNAs have two regions of fundamental functional importance: the anti-codon, which is responsible for specific mRNA codon recognition, and the 3' end, to which the tRNAs corresponding amino acid is attached (by aminoacyl-tRNA synthetases). tRNAs cope with the degeneracy of the genetic code in two manners: having more than one tRNA (with a specific anti-codon) for a particular amino acid; and 'wobble' base-pairing, i.e. permitting non-standard base-pairing at the 3rd anti-codon position. The record is from RNAcentral.